CAACAACAACAACAACAACAGGUCUCUUGCCUCCUGCUCUGGGAUGUGAUUUGGUGUAGAGAAAAACCAGAGCAAGCUGUGGGAAUGUACACAGAAAUAAGAUGUACAGGGAUUGCAGAAAGGAGCCGACUCUAUGUGAACGGUCCAUUUAGUCCCCCAAAUUAAAUAGGAAGCAACCUGUUGGGCUAUGCUGGCCCAUCCACAGUCUCUGGGUUCCUGUGUGUCCUGGCUCUCUCUGGCAACUGUGUAGGGUCCCAGCUGACUUUGCCUGGAGGAUGUAUUGCCUCCGUCUUCUUGGCCCCCUGACUGGGAUACUAUUGUUAAAAUUAAUAAAAAUUGAAUUGAAGAAGAAGAAAAAGAGGUUGGCUACCUGCACCCAUCUUCAAGUGCUACUUUCAAGACGUGCCUGUGGGGAUGCGUCCCGGCAAACCAGCUGAUUGGCUGAGGUGCAGGCCAAUAGCUGUGGCAGAUCGGACUGCUGGGACUCACUGGCAUGCAAGUGGCGGCCGCGGAGGCAAGAGGCAGGCUGCGGAGCCGGUACUCAGCCCGGUGGAGGGACAGUGAAAAGUCAGUGAUGGAUGUUGGAGGAUGUAGAAUAUAUUGCUGUUUUUCAGCACUUCCCUAAAGUCAGCAUAUGCCAUUUUUACCAAUAUCGAAAAUGCUAUUGUGCAAAACGGUUUUUAAUAAAAUGCU
Hemicordylus capensis (graceful crag lizard) is the source of this 693-nucleotide long non-coding RNA. RefSeq lists it as uncharacterized. The record is from RefSeq and is a predicted model, not a curated record. Lineage: Eukaryota; Metazoa; Chordata; Lepidosauria; Squamata; Cordylidae. The transcript has 5 exons.